RNAcentral lists this ribosomal RNA (2923 nucleotides) under Klebsiella pneumoniae. RNAcentral's name for it is "23S ribosomal RNA". It matches the Rfam family "Bacterial large subunit ribosomal RNA". Lineage: Bacteria; Pseudomonadati; Pseudomonadota; Gammaproteobacteria; Enterobacterales; Enterobacteriaceae. The record is from RNAcentral.
GGGUUGUGAGGUUAAGCGACUAAGCGUACACGGUGGAUGCCCUGGCAGUCAGAGGCGAUGAAGGACGUGCUAAUCUGCGAAAAGCGUCGGUAAGGUGAUAUGAACCGUUACAGCCGGCGAUGUCCGAAUGGGGAAACCCAGUGCAAUUCGUUGCACUAUCGUUAACUGAAUACAUAGGUUAACGAGGCGAACCGGGGGAACUGAAACAUCUAAGUACCCCGAGGAAAAGAAAUCAACCGAGAUUCCCCCAGUAGCGGCGAGCGAACGGGGAGCAGCCCAGAGUCUGAAUCAGCUUGUGUGUUAGUGGAACGGUCUGGAAAGUCCGACGGUACAGGGUGAUAGUCCCGUACACCAAAAUGCACAGGUUGUGAACUCGAAGAGUAGGGCGGGACACGUGGUAUCCUGUCUGAAUAUGGGGGGACCAUCCUCCAAGGCUAAAUACUCCUGACUGACCGAUAGUGAACCAGUACCGUGAGGGAAAGGCGAAAAGAACCCCGGCGAGGGGAGUGAAAAAGAACCUGAAACCGUGUACGUACAAGCAGUGGGAGCACCUUCGGGUGUGACUGCGUACCUUUUGUAUAAUGGGUCAGCGACUUAUAUUCUGUAGCAAGGUUAACCGUAUAGGGGAGCCGCAGGGAAACCGAGUCUUAACUGGGCGUUAAGUUGCAGGGUAUAGACCCGAAACCCGGUGAUCUAGCCAUGGGCAGGUUGAAGGUUGGGUAACACUAACUGGAGGACCGAACCGACUAAUGUUGAAAAAUUAGCGGAUGACUUGUGGCUGGGGGUGAAAGGCCAAUCAAACCGGGAGAUAGCUGGUUCUCCCCGAAAGCUAUUUAGGUAGCGCCUCGUGAAUUCAUCUUCGGGGGUAGAGCACUGUUUCGGCUAGGGGGUCAUCCCGACUUACCAACCCGAUGCAAACUACGAAUACCGAAGAAUGUUAUCACGGGAGACACACGGCGGGUGCUAACGUCCGUCGUGAAGAGGGAAACAACCCAGACCGCCAGCUAAGGUCCCAAAGUCAUGGUUAAGUGGGAAACGAUGUGGGAAGGCACAGACAGCCAGGAUGUUGGCUUAGAAGCAGCCAUCAUUUAAAGAAAGCGUAAUAGCUCACUGGUCGAGUCGGCCUGCGCGGAAGAUGUAACGGGGCUAAACCAUGCACCGAAGCUGCGGCAGCGACACUAUGUGUUGUUGGGUAGGGGAGCGUUCUGUAAGCCUGCGAAGGUGUGCUGUGAGGCAUGCUGGAGGUAUCAGAAGUGCGAAUGCUGACAUAAGUAACGAUAAAGCGGGUGAAAAGCCCGCUCGCCGGAAGACCAAGGGUUCCUGUCCAACGUUAAUCGGGGCAGGGUGAGUCGACCCCUAAGGCGAGGCCGAAAGGCGUAGUCGAUGGGAAACAGGUUAAUAUUCCUGUACUUGGUGUUACUGCGAAGGGGGGACGGAGAAGGCUAUGUUAGCCGGGCGACGGUUGUCCCGGUUUAAGCAUGUAGGCUGGUUGUCCAGGCAAAUCCGGAUAAUCAAGGCUGAGGUGUGAUGACGAGGCACUACGGUGCUGAAGUAACAAAUGCCCUGCUUCCAGGAAAAGCCUCUAAGCAUCAGGUAACAUUAAAUCGUACCCCAAACCGACACAGGUGGUCAGGUAGAGAAUACCAAGGCGCUUGAGAGAACUCGGGUGAAGGAACUAGGCAAAAUGGUGCCGUAACUUCGGGAGAAGGCACGCUGGUGUGUAGGUGAAGUCCCUGCGGAUGGAGCUGAGACCAGUCGAAGAUACCAGCUGGCUGCAACUGUUUAUUAAAAACACAGCACUGUGCAAACACGAAAGUGGACGUAUACGGUGUGACGCCUGCCCGGUGCCGGAAGGUUAAUUGAUGGGGUUAUCCGUAAGGAGAAGCUCUUGAUCGAAGCCCCGGUAAACGGCGGCCGUAACUAUAACGGUCCUAAGGUAGCGAAAUUCCUUGUCGGGUAAGUUCCGACCUGCACGAAUGGCGUAAUGAUGGCCAGGCUGUCUCCACCCGAGACUCAGUGAAAUUGAACUCGCUGUGAAGAUGCAGUGUACCCGCGGCAAGACGGAAAGACCCCGUGAACCUUUACUAUAGCUUGACACUGAACAUUGAGCCUUGAUGUGUAGGAUAGGUGGGAGGCUUUGAAGCGUGGACGCCAGUCUGCGUGGAGCCAACCUUGAAAUACCACCCUUUAAUGUUUGAUGUUCUAACGUUGGCCCCUUACCGGGGUUGCGGACAGUGUCUGGUGGGUAGUUUGACUGGGGCGGUCUCCUCCCAAAGCGUAACGGAGGAGCACGAAGGUUAGCUAAUCCUGGUCGGACAUCAGGAGGUUAGUGCAAUGGCAUAAGCUAGCUUGACUGCGAGCGUGACGGCGCGAGCAGGUGCGAAAGCAGGUCAUAGUGAUCCGGUGGUUCUGAAUGGAAGGGCCAUCGCUCAACGGAUAAAAGGUACUCCGGGGAUAACAGGCUGAUACCGCCCAAGAGUUCAUAUCGACGGCGGUGUUUGGCACCUCGAUGUCGGCUCAUCACAUCCUGGGGCUGAAGUAGGUCCCAAGGGUAUGGCUGUUCGCCAUUUAAAGUGGUACGCGAGCUGGGUUUAGAACGUCGUGAGACAGUUCGGUCCCUAUCUGCCGUGGGCGCUGGAGAAUUGAGGGGGGCUGCUCCUAGUACGAGAGGACCGGAGUGGACGCAUCACUGGUGUUCGGGUUGUCAUGCCAAUGGCACUGCCCGGUAGCUAAAUGCGGAAGAGAUAAGUGCUGAAAGCAUCUAAGCACGAAACUUGCCCCGAGAUGAGUUCUCCCUGAGACUUUAAGUCUCCUGAAGGAACGUUAAAGACGAUGACGUUGAUAGGCCGGGUGUGUAAGCGCAGCGAUGCGUUGAGCUAACCGGUACUAAUGAACCGUGAGGCUUAACCUUACAACGCCGAAG